Molecule: ribosomal RNA, 868 nt
Filed under: uncultured archaeon
Lineage: Archaea
Description: bacterial SSU rRNA
Rfam family: Archaeal small subunit ribosomal RNA
Source: RNAcentral
CUCCGGUUGAUCCUGCCGGACCCGACUGCUAUCAGAGUGGGACUAAGCCAUGCGAGUCAACAUAGCAAUAUGUGGCAUACGGCUCAGUAACACGUAGUCAACAUGCCCAGGGGACGUGGAUAACCUCGGGAAACUGAGGAUAAACCGCGAUAGGUCAUCACUUCUGGAAUGGGUAAUGACUUAAAUCUAUAUGGCCCCUGGAUUGGACUGCGGCCGAUCAGGCUGUUGGUGAGGUAAUGGCCCACCAAACCUGUAACCGGUACGGGCUCUGAGAGGAGGAGCCCGGAGAUGGGCACUGAGACAAGGGCCCAGGCCCUAUGGGGCGCAGCAGGCGCGAAACCUCUGCAAUAGGCGAAAGCUUGACAGGGUUACUCUGAGUGAUUUCCGUUAAGGAGAUCUUUUGGCACCUCUAAAAAUGGUGCAGAAUAAGGGGUGGGCAAGUCUGGUGUCAGCCGCCGCGGUAAUACCAGCACCCCGAGUGGUCGGGACGUUUAUUGGGCCUAAAGCAUCCGUAGCCGGUUCUACAAGUCUUCCGUUAAAUCCACCUGCUUAACAGAUGGGCUGCGGAAGAUACUAUAGAGCUAGGAGGCGGGAGAGGCAAGCGGUACUCGAUGGGUAGGGGUAAAAUCCAUUGAUCCAUUGAAGACCACCAGUGGCGAAGGCGGCUUGCCAGAACGCGCUCGACGGUGAGGGAUGAAAGCUGGGGGAGCAAACCGGAUUAGAUACCCGGGUAGUCCCAGCUGUAAACGAUGCAGACUCGGUGAUGAGUUGGCUUAUUGCUAACUCAGUGCCGCAGGGAAGCCGUUAAGUUUGCCGCCUGGGGAGUACGGUCGCAAGACUGAAACUUAAAGGAAUUGGCGGGGGAGCA